Molecule: long non-coding RNA, 2851 nt
Organism: Mirounga angustirostris (Northern elephant seal)
Lineage: Eukaryota; Metazoa; Chordata; Mammalia; Carnivora; Phocidae
Exons: 4
Source: RefSeq, a predicted model, not a curated record
GCCGCUGCUCCGACCAAUAAGCGAGGCGAGGGGGCGGGCGGAGGGCUGUGGCAGGCCAAUGGGCGCCGGCCCCGCCGCCUCGACCUCGCCGUGGAAGCGGCGCGAGCGGAGGGCCGUUGGGGGCGAGACUCCAAAGCAGGGAAACAGCCGUUGCAAGCCUGAAUUCAUUCAUCCAACAGACACUGAAUGAGGACCAGCACAUCAGGAAGGCCUGCAUGAGUAACCAGCCCCAGUGCCCGUCCCAGGCUUCAAGAGUGGAAUUAGCUUUGAGCUCCUUAGAAGUCAGAUGGCUAGGAAAAUUCAGAAGUGUUGGAAUCUUCCAUUCCUUCUUUAAGGCAAGGCUGUCGCUCUCACCGCAGCGUCCAGCUCCAGCUCCUGGCUGAUCUGGGAAGAGCCCUGCUGGCAAAUCAGGGGUCUCUGAGCCUCAGGGGCUGAAUGUGUGAAAGGCUGACAAUUGCCCCCUCCCUGAGGCCUGCUCCACCACACGUUCCCAGCUUCUCUCCUCCACGCCUUCCUUCCAUUUCCCGAAGUUCGCAGGGGACACGUAGUGACUCACCUGGAUCGUCACAGCCCUCCUUUGCCCAGUAGCAGCCUAUGUGGUGGUUCUCACACCAGCCCUGCAAGGACAGGACAGAAAUGCCCCAUUUUCUCAGCCCUCACUGAGUUCAGAGAGAGCCCAAAGUUUAACAAACAUCAGCUUUAAUUCUCACAAUGUUUCCUCUUUGACAGAUAAGGAACUUAAGGCUCAGAGAGGCUGUACAAGUUGUCCAAGGUCACACAGCCAGUUCCAAGAAAUUCACAGCCAACGUAUCAAAAGGAACAGUUACACGGUGUUCUAUGCACCCAGCACUGAUUUUUAAAGGUAUAUUCUACCAUCCCCACAACUAGACUCCAGCAGGCCCUGAGGAACCUGCCCAGGGGCCCAGGCGUACCCACGGGAAGAUGAGGGGCAGGGGGUUGCUCAUCAGUCUGGGAAAAGGCCCAGAGGUGGCAUUCGUUGCUCCCUGAGGGACAACAGGAGUUCCCCAGACUCACCCAUUCACUAAGCAAAUCCUGACACUUGCCCUGAGGGUCAGCUGUUGAGGGGAGAAAGAGAGCGGCAGGGAAGAGUCUUCCAGACUCUCUCAGACAGAGAGUCAAGAAGCAAAGAAAUGGCGAGGUACACGCAGGGCCAGUAUUUUCAGAGAAGCAGGAGCAGAGAGGGAGGGAAGACUUGAACAAUGUGAAGGACCUUUGGUGGGGGAAAUGAACAAAAGAAGUGCACACGCACGAUCUCCAGCACACUUCACGGUUUUCUCCUGGGAAAAUCUGUAGCCAACUGAAAAGCUGUGCACCCACAGUGAGUGGCCUCAGAAGGUCUCAGCGGACUUGGGACAGAGACAGUGUCUGCUGCCACAGUCGACGGGGGUCCCUCCAGGCCUCCGACACUCUCUGCACAGGCUGACCACACAUGUGUAACCUUCUGUGAGUGUGCCCAGCACCACGCCUGUGGGCUCAGUAAAAACACUGGGAGAGGGGCGCCUGGGUGGCUCAGUUGGUUAAGUGACUGCCUUCGGCUCAGGUCAUGAUCCUGGAGUCGUGGGAUCGAGUCCCGCAUCGGGCUCCCUGCUCGGCAGGGAGCCUGCUUCUCCCUCUGACCCUCCCCCCUCUCAUGUGCUCUCUCUCUCUCUCAUUCUCUCUCUUUCAAAUAAAUAAAUAAAAUCUUUAAAAAAACAAAACAAAACAAAACACUGGGAGAAUGCAGCUCGGAGGCCACGCCCCCCAGGAGGCUUCCCCCGACUCUCCUGGGGGAGUUUUCUUGUCCUCAGGUUAUCUUCCCAUCAGACCCCUAGUGUUUCCUGCCCUGGGCUGAGCCACGUCGGAGUUCUCCAUGGCGUGCGGUGCUGUGUCUUCACUGUGUUGUUCAUUUUUACUACCUCACCUUUCCCUCCAGGGCUCAGGGUCCACUGGGUAGAUAACACCAGGGCAAGACUCCUGCAUCCCUCAAGGAGGCUGGGUCCCUCUGGGUCCCACUUGGCCCUGAGAGCCCCUGAGUUCUGAGCAGACAAAUCUUCCCACCAUCACCAUGGCGAUCUAAAAUAUAUCCAAAAAUGCUUUUGAGAUUUUUCCCUUUCACAGGUAGAGCCUAGUUCCCCUCCCUUUGCAUGUGGGCCAGACUUGGUGACUUGCUUCUAAUGCAUAGAAUGUGGCAGAAGGGAUGCCCUGACUGGGAGGUCAAGCAAUGAAACGGUUAUAGCUUCCUCCUGGCUCCUUCCUCUGGGACCGCUCACUCUGGGGGAGGUCAGUUAGUAUCCUUAGGACACUUGAGCAGCCCUCUGGAGACGCCCCUGUGGGGAGGAAGCGAGUCUCCCACCAAAGCCAGCACCAGCGGUGUUCGAAUGAGCUGCUGCACAGGGGCGUCCCCCAGCCUCAGUCAGGCCUUCAGAUGACUGUGGCCCCAGCAACACGGGCUUGCAGGGCUCGAGACUCCCAGCCAGAACCGACCAGCCAAACCACGCUCAAAUUCCUGAUCCGCAGAAACUGUGAGAGAGAAUAAAUGUUUCUUGUCGAAUCAAGCCACCAAGUUUGGAGGUAAUUUGUUGCACAGCAGUAGAUAACGAGGACAUUAUCCUUCUCCCCACUGCCUCUCUCCAAGCUCCUUCUGCUGCAGCCAAACUCCACCACUCACUGUGUAAAGCAGUGCAUUUUGACUGAGAAUCUUCUGUGUGCCAGGCCUGGCCAGACACUGGGAAUGUGGCACUGAGCCGGCUAGACCAGCGUGGGCUCUGUCCUCAUGAGCUUAAGGGGUCACACACUUCAGACAUUCACAUAUCCGCUUUGGCCCAUGUGCCCUCCAUCCAGAAAGCUCGCC